CACUCCGUGGCCUAGUGGUUAGAGCAUUCGCCUCAGAUGCGGGAAGUCGUGGGUUCAACCCCUGGCAGAGUUG
Potamilus streckersoni is the source of this 73-nucleotide non-coding RNA. Lineage: Eukaryota; Metazoa; Mollusca; Bivalvia; Unionida; Unionidae. The record is from the annotation of a GenBank genome assembly.